Hemicordylus capensis (graceful crag lizard) is the source of this 419-nucleotide long non-coding RNA. RefSeq lists it as uncharacterized. The transcript has 2 exons. NCBI's taxonomy places the organism in Eukaryota, Metazoa, Chordata, Lepidosauria, Squamata, Cordylidae. The record is from RefSeq and is a predicted model, not a curated record.
GUAUGGAACUGCAGAGCCCAGGAAGCUGGCUGUUGGCUUGUUGUUCUCCCUCCAAGAACGAAAAUAUUGGGUGAAUAAACUGACCAGAUAACCACAUGGAAAUGUGAGGAAGAAGCAUGUUUUAAGAAAAUUAGCAGCAGCAACAACAACAAAAAGUGCUGCAUUACACAUUUUGCAAGAAAUGAUGGUUGUUGUUGCACAACCUUUUGCUACUGGCUUUUGUUGCUAAGGAGUGAAGGCAUCAUUCCUUCCUUUCCCAUCAUCCCACCCCAUUUCUGUACAACUUUGUCAAUUGGGUUUUUAAAAAUAAAAGUUGAUGCUUUGUUCUCACUGCAGUAAAAGUUCAUGCAAACCAAUAAUGGUGUUUGCAUCUGCUUCCAAAUAUAGAUGUAAUGUUUUCAAUAAAUCAUUUUCCUGUC